UUCACUACAAACCAGACCUCGCCACCACCAACCCGAUCCCUUGGUUGUUAAGUAGACCUGGCCAUUUCCACAAACCCAACCUUAUCGCCACCUCUCAUUGGUCCGCUCUCUUCUAUGCUAAUUUUUCAUGUGCCAUGGUAAAGGUCGGAGGAGGUGAUGAAGCAAGGGCCGAUAAUCUCUCUAAAAACAAGAGCAUCAGAGAGAUAAAGGUAAAAAUAGCUCGGCUCCGCCAACCACCCAAUAAGACAACCAAAUAAUGGAGAAACGAA
Molecule: long non-coding RNA, 269 nt
Filed under: Prunus persica (peach)
Lineage: Eukaryota; Viridiplantae; Streptophyta; Magnoliopsida; Rosales; Rosaceae
Description: long non-coding RNA (PPER_LNC006327)
Source: RNAcentral